AUUGCCCUAGUAACGGCGAGUGAAGCGGCAAGAGCUCAAAUUUGAAAUCUGGCCCUCUCAGGGUCCGAGUUGUAAUUUGUAGAGGGCGCUUUGGCGUCGGCUACGGCCUAAGUUCCUUGGAACAGGACGUCACAGAGGGUGAGAACCCCGUACGUGGCCGCUGGCCUUCGCCGUGUAAAGCCCCUUCGACGAGUCGAGUUGUUUGGGAAUGCAGCUCUAAAUGGGAGGUAAAUUUCUUCUAAAGCUAAAUACUGGCCAGAGACCGAUAGCGCACAAGUAGAGUGAUCGAAAGAUGAAAAGCACUUUGGAAAGAGAGUCAAAAAGCACGUGAAAUUGUUGAAAGGGAAGCGCUUGCAGCCAGACUUGCCUGUAGUUGCUCACCCGAGCCACCGGCUCGGUGCACUCUUCUGCGGGCAGGCCAGCAUCAGUCCGGGCGGUCGGAUAAAGGCCUCGGGAAUGUAGCUCCCCUCGGGGAGUGUUAUAGCCCGGGGUGCCAUGCGACCAGCCUGGACUGAGGUCCGCGCAUCUGCUAGGAUGCUGGCGUAAUGGCUGUAAGCGGCCCGUCUUGAAACACGGACCAAGGAGUCUAACAUCUAUGCGAGUGUUUGGGUGUCAAGCCCGGGCGCGCAAUGAAAGUGAACGGAGGUGGGAACCCCUCGGGGCGCACCAUCGACCGAUCCUGAUGUCUUCGGAUGGAUUUGAGUAAGAGCAUAGCUGUUGGGACCCGAAAGAUGGUGAACUAUGCCUGAAUAGGGUGAAGCCAGAGGAAACUCUGGUGGAGGCUCGCAGCGGUUCUGACGUGCAAAUCGAUCGUCAAAUUUGGGCAUAGGGGCGAAAGACUAAUCGAACUAUCUAGUAGCUGGUUCCUGCCGAAGUUUCCCUCAGGAUAGCAGUAACGUUUUCAGUUUUAUGAGGUAAAGCGAAUGAUUAGAGGCAUGGGGGUUGAAACAACCUUCACCUAUUCUCAAACUUUAAAUAUGUAAGAAGUCCUUGUUACUUAGUUGAACGUGGACAUUUGAAUGUACCGUUACUAGUGGGCCAUUUUUGGUAAGCAGAACUGGCGAUGCGGGAUGAACCGAACGCGGGGUUAAGGUGCCAGAAUGCACGCUCAUCAGACACCACAAAAGGUGUUAGUUCAUCUAGACAGCAGGACGGUGGCCAUGGAAGUCGGAAUCCGCUAAGGAGUGUGUAACAACUCACCUGCCGAAUGAACUAGCCCUGAAAAUGGAUGGCGCUCAAGCGUGCUACCCAUACCCCGCCGCCGGGGCAGAAUUUACGCCCCGGCGAGUAGGCAGGCGUGGAGGCUCGUGACGAAG
This 1316-nucleotide ribosomal RNA is filed under the name Atrocalyx lignicola. Its description in RNAcentral is "eukaryotic LSU rRNA". It matches the Rfam family "Eukaryotic large subunit ribosomal RNA", at positions 74 to 1408 of the family's 3401-position model. Lineage: Eukaryota; Fungi; Ascomycota; Dothideomycetes; Pleosporales; Lophiotremataceae. The record is from RNAcentral.